RNAcentral lists this ribosomal RNA (1483 nucleotides) under uncultured organism. RNAcentral describes it as "SSU rRNA". It matches the Rfam family "Bacterial small subunit ribosomal RNA". The record is from RNAcentral.
CUCAUGACGAACGCUGGCGGCGUGCCUAAUACAUGCAAGUCGAGCGUGCGGAACUAACAGAUUUACUUCGGUAAUGACGUUAGGAAAGCGAGCGGCGGAUGGGUGAGUAACACGUGGGGAACCUGCCCCAUAGUCUGGGAUACCACUUGGAAACAGGUGCUAAUACCGGAUAAGAAAGCAGAUCGCAUGAUCAGCUUUUAAAAGGCGGCGUAAGCUGUCGCUAUGGGGUGGCCCCGCGGUGCAUUAGCUAGUUGGUAAGGUAAAGGCUUACCAAGGCGAUGAUGCAUAGCCGAGUUGAGAGACUGAUCGGCCACAUUGGGACUGAGACACGGCCCAAACUCCUACGGGAGGCAGCAGUAGGGAAUCUUCCACAAUGGACGCAAGUCUGAUGGAGCAACGCCGCGUGAGUGAAGAAGGUUUUCGGAUCGUAAAGCUCUGUUGUUGGUGAAGAAGGAUAGAGGUAGUAACUGGCCUUUAUUUGACGGUAAUCAACCAGAAAGUCACGGCUAACUACGUGCCAGCAGCCGCGGUAAUACGUAGGUGGCAAGCGUUGUCCGGAUUUAUUGGGCGUAAAGCGAGCGCAGGCGGAAGAAUAAGUCUGAUGUGAAAGCCCUCGGCUUAACCGAGGAACUGCAUCGGAAACUGUUUUUCUUGAGUGCAGAAGAGGAGAGUGGAACUCCAUGUGUAGCGGUGGAAUGCGUAGAUAUAUGGAAGAACACCAGUGGCGAAGGCGGCUCUCUGGUCUGCAACUGACGCUGAGGCUCGAAAGCAUGGGUAGCGAACAGGAUUAGAUACCCUGGUAGUCCAUGCCGUAAACGAUGAGUGCUAAGUGUUGGGAGGUUUCCGCCUCUCAGUGCUGCAGCUAACGCAUUAAGCACUCCGCCUGGGGAGUACGACCGCAAGGUUGAAACUCAAAGGAAUUGACGGGGGCCCGCACAAGCGGUGGAGCAUGUGGUUUAAUUCGAAGCAACGCGAAGAACCUUACCAGGUCUUGACAUCUAGUGUCAUUUGUAGAGAUACAAAGUUCCCUUCGGGGACGCUAAGACAGGUGGUGCAUGGCUGUCGUCAGCUCGUGUCGUGAGAUGUUGGGUUAAGUCCCGCAACGAGCGCAACCCUUGUUAUUAGUUGCCAGCAUUAAGUUGGGCACUCUAAUGAGACUGCCGGUGACAAACCGGAGGAAGGUGGGGAUGACGUCAAGUCAUCAUGCCCCUUAUGACCUGGGCUACACACGUGCUACAAUGGGCAGUACAACGAGAAGCGAGCCUGCGAAGGCAAGCGAAUCUCUGAAAGCUGUUCUCAGUUCGGACUGCAGUCUGCAACUCGACUGCACGAAGCUGGAAUCGCUAGUAAUCGCGGAUCAGCACGCCGCGGUGAAUACGUUCCCGGGCCUUGUACACACCGCCCGUCACACCAUGGGAGUCUGCAAUGCCCAAAGCCGGUGGCCUAACCUUCGGGAAGGAGCCGUCUAAGGCAGGGCAGAUGA